AUGAAUGUGCAUCCGUCCCUUCCAUCUGUGGAAACCAUUCAGAUUGCUACAACACGCAUGGCUCCUACUUCUGCAAUUGUCUCUCAGGAUUCAGCUCAUCUAAGAUGAAUUUCACAGCAGAGGACAUCCAAUGCCAAGAUAUAGAUGAGUGUUGCUCAUAUCCAUGUGGCCCCAUUCAGCAAUGCAUAAACGUUCCUGGAUCCUAUCAGUGUGAGUGCCAUAGCGGGUAUCGCAUUAGUGGACGUGGCGGCCUGGACUGCAUUGAUGUGGAUGAGUGUGUUAUGAGUCCUCAUAUAUGUGGUGCAAAUGGCACCUGCUCAAACACACCAGGCAGCUAUAACUGUACCUGUCCAUCAGGAUUUAGCAACAAAGGCAGUAUCAGCAGUGGACCUUGUACAGAUAUUGACGAAUGUGCAUUCGAAGGAUCCAUCUGUGGAGAACACUCCGACUGCCUCAAUACACCAGGAAGCUUCUCCUGCAAUUGUACAAAUGGAUUCAUCCCCUCCCGAGUUAACUUCAAAU
Long non-coding RNA from Engraulis encrasicolus (European anchovy), 522 nucleotides. RefSeq lists it as uncharacterized. The record is from RefSeq and is a predicted model, not a curated record. Lineage: Eukaryota; Metazoa; Chordata; Actinopteri; Clupeiformes; Engraulidae. The transcript has 4 exons.